RNAcentral lists this ribosomal RNA (538 nucleotides) under Salmonella enterica subsp. enterica serovar Cardoner. Its description in RNAcentral is "partial 23S ribosomal RNA". It matches the Rfam family "Bacterial large subunit ribosomal RNA", at positions 161 to 740 of the family's 2925-position model. The record is from RNAcentral. Lineage: Bacteria; Pseudomonadati; Pseudomonadota; Gammaproteobacteria; Enterobacterales; Enterobacteriaceae.
AAUCCAUAGGUUAAUGAGGCGAACCGGGGGAACUGAAACAUCUAAGUACCCCGAGGAAAAGAAAUCAACCGAGAUUCCCCCAGUAGCGGCGAGCGAACGGGGAGGAGCCCAGAGCCUGAAUCAGCAUGUGUGUUAGUGGAAGCGUCUGGAAAGGCGCGCGAUACAGGGUGACAGCCCCGUACACAAAAGCGCAUGUGCUGUGAGCUCGAUGAGUAGGGCGGGACACGUGGUAUCCUGUCUGAAUAUGGGGGGACCAUCCUCCAAGGCUAAAUACUCCUGACUGACCGAUAGUGAACCAGUACCGUGAGGGAAAGGCGAAAAGAACCCCGGCGAGGGGAGUGAAAAAGAACCUGAAACCGUGUACGUACAAGCAGUGGGAGCACCCUUCGGGGUGUGACUGCGUACCUUUUGUAUAAUGGGUCAGCGACUUAUAUUCUGUAGCAAGGUUAACCGUAUAGGGGAGCCGCAGGGAAACCGAGUCUUAAUUGGGCGUUAAGUUGCAGGGUAUAGACCCGAAACCCGGUGAUCUAGCCAUGGG